AUUAUACAAGACUAUUUGAUCAAAAGAUUUCAAGUGAAGCCGUACGAAAAAUAUGUUUAAAAGCCGAAAGAGUGUUUAGAAGUCACCCAGUCAAUACUGGUUGUAAGCAACAUUCUGUAUUUCUAUGGUAUAAAAUUAAAACUAGUAUAUUCAAAUAUAUAUUAUUUAAUGAUGAUAAUUGCGAAGAAAAUUAUUCAGUAUUAAAUACUCAUAGAGACCAAUUGACACAUUUGAUAAUAUACAAAUACUUGGCAAUCAGAAUGUUUUACAAAAUAAAAAAAAGAAUGAACAAUCAAAAAUUAGCAUUAAGUACACCAAAUUAAUUUUAUUCUAACACCAAUAAUGUAUCAAAUUGUUUUAAUGUUGUAUUUAAUUGUAUUUAAUAUUUUUCAGACGAAUAAAAUGUAAAUGUUUUAACGAAAUUAUAC
This is a non-coding RNA of Cinara cedri, 428 nucleotides long. The record is from the annotation of a GenBank genome assembly. NCBI's taxonomy places the organism in Eukaryota, Metazoa, Arthropoda, Insecta, Hemiptera, Aphididae.